RNAcentral lists this long non-coding RNA (226 nucleotides) under Mytilus galloprovincialis (Mediterranean mussel). Lineage: Eukaryota; Metazoa; Mollusca; Bivalvia; Mytilida; Mytilidae. The record is from RNAcentral.
AUAGAGUACAGUGGAUGUUGGGAUACCAGGGUAUGAUAUGUCUAGCAGGAAACCAGGUUUGGUGAACAUGGGAGGUUGAAGACGUAUUUAGGAAAGUUAAAAAAGCAGAAAAAACAGCAAUGAAAGAAUACGCCAAAAGACUUCAUGGACAGAUUGGUGAAUUAGUAGUACAAGUCAGAUCUCCAUUGUCUAAGAAUGACAGGGCAAAGUUCAACAGUGUUCUAAU